AUGAACGCUGGCGGCGUGCCUAAUACAUGCAAGUCGAGCGAACGGACGAGAAGCUUGCUUCUCUGAUGUUAGCGGCGGACGGGUGAGUAACACGUGGAUAACCUACCUAUAAGACUGGGAUAACUUCGGGAAACCGUAGCUAAUACCGGAUAAUAUUUUGAACCGCAUGGUUCAAAAGUGAAAGACGGUCUUGCUGUCACUUAUAGAUGGAUCCGCGCUGCAUUAGCUAGUUGGUAAGGUAACGGCUUACCAAGGCAACGAUGCAUAGCCGACCUGAAAGGGUGAUAGGCCACACUGGAACUGAGACACGGUCCAGACUCCUACGGGAGGCAGCAGUAGGGAAUCUUCCGCAAUGGGCGAAAGCCUGACGGAGCAACGCCGCGUGAGUGAUGAAGGUCUUCGGAUCGUAAAACUCUGUUAUUAGGGAAGAACAUAUGUGUAAGUAACUGUGCACAUCUUGACGGUACCUAAUCAGAAAGCCACGGCUAACUACGUG
RNAcentral lists this ribosomal RNA (496 nucleotides) under uncultured bacterium. RNAcentral's name for it is "partial 16S ribosomal RNA". It matches the Rfam family "Bacterial small subunit ribosomal RNA", at positions 29 to 507 of the family's 1533-position model. The record is from RNAcentral.